GUCUACGGCCAUACCACCCCAAACGCGCCCGAUCUCGUUUGAUCUCAGAAGCUAAGCAGGGUUGGGCCUGGUUAGUACUUGGAUGGGAGACCACCUGGGAAUACCGGGUGCUGUAGGCU
This is a ribosomal RNA of Oryctolagus cuniculus (rabbit), 119 nucleotides long. NCBI's taxonomy places the organism in Eukaryota, Metazoa, Chordata, Mammalia, Lagomorpha, Leporidae. The record is from Ensembl.